UUUGCCGGCGAGCGGCGGACGGGUGAGUAAUGCCUGGGAAAUUGCCCAGUCGAGGGGGAUAACAGUUGGAAACGACUGCUAAUACCGCAUACGCCCUACGGGGGAAAGCAGGGGACCUUCGGGCCUUGCGCGAUUGGAUAUGCCCAGGUGGGAUUAGCUAGUUGGUGAGGUAAUGGCUCACCAAGGCGACGAUCCCUAGCUGGUCUGAGAGGAUGAUCAGCCACACUGGAACUGAGACACGGUCCAGACUCCUACGGGAGGCAGCAGUGGGGAAUAUUGCACAAUGGGGGAAACCCUGAUGCAGCCAUGCCGCGUGUGUGAAGAAGGCCUUCGGGUUGUAAAGCACUUUCAGCGAGGAGGAAAGGUCAGUAGCUAAUACCUGCUGACUGUGACGUUACUCGCAGAAGAAGCACCGGCUAACUCCGUGCCAGCAGCCGCG
Molecule: ribosomal RNA, 439 nt
Filed under: uncultured Aeromonas sp.
Lineage: Bacteria; Pseudomonadati; Pseudomonadota; Gammaproteobacteria; Aeromonadales; Aeromonadaceae
Description: bacterial SSU rRNA
Rfam family: Bacterial small subunit ribosomal RNA
Source: RNAcentral